Molecule: transfer RNA, 72 nt
Filed under: Candidatus Methanoperedens sp.
Lineage: Archaea; Methanobacteriati; Methanobacteriota; Methanomicrobia; Methanosarcinales; Candidatus Methanoperedentaceae
Description: tRNA-Thr
Rfam family: tRNA
About the family: Transfer RNA (tRNA) molecules are approximately 80 nucleotides in length.
Source: RNAcentral
GCCUCGGUGGCUUAGGGGUAUAGCGCGUCCUUGGUAAGGACGAGGUCGAGGGUUCAAAUCCCUCCAGGGGCU